ACAAUUCUAACUGCUGCCUAACACAUUAAAACUACUACAACUGCCGCCAGACAACACUCAAAACAAGCAAAAAAAUUCUUUACCCAAAACAUCUCCGAAUAGAGCAUAAUAUAAUUGAAAAAUUUCUGAGAGGAAGAAUCAAGUUUGUGCGCAGCAAGUUGAGGACCAAUUCAACCAACCUACUUUUGCCUUCAAUUCCAAC
RNAcentral lists this long non-coding RNA (202 nucleotides) under Medicago truncatula (barrel medic). RNAcentral describes it as "long non-coding RNA (MTRU_LNC007139)". The record is from RNAcentral. Lineage: Eukaryota; Viridiplantae; Streptophyta; Magnoliopsida; Fabales; Fabaceae.